RNAcentral lists this transfer RNA (69 nucleotides) under Ictidomys tridecemlineatus (thirteen-lined ground squirrel). Its description in RNAcentral is "Spermophilus tridecemlineatus (thirteen-lined ground squirrel) tRNA". It matches the Rfam family "tRNA". Rfam says of the family: Transfer RNA (tRNA) molecules are approximately 80 nucleotides in length. Their secondary structure includes four short double-helical elements and three loops (D, anti-codon, and T loops). Further hydrogen bonds mediate the characteristic L-shaped molecular structure. tRNAs have two regions of fundamental functional importance: the anti-codon, which is responsible for specific mRNA codon recognition, and the 3' end, to which the tRNAs corresponding amino acid is attached (by aminoacyl-tRNA synthetases). tRNAs cope with the degeneracy of the genetic code in two manners: having more than one tRNA (with a specific anti-codon) for a particular amino acid; and 'wobble' base-pairing, i.e. permitting non-standard base-pairing at the 3rd anti-codon position. The record is from Rfam by way of RNAcentral. Lineage: Eukaryota; Metazoa; Chordata; Mammalia; Rodentia; Sciuridae.
GGGGAUGUGGCUCAGUGGUAGAGCACUUGCCUUACAUGUGUGAGUCUCUGGGUUCGAUUCUCAGCACCA